RNAcentral lists this unclassified non-coding RNA (167 nucleotides) under uncultured Helotiales. RNAcentral describes it as "sequence contains ITS1". Lineage: Eukaryota; Fungi; Ascomycota; Leotiomycetes; Helotiales. The record is from RNAcentral.
CCGAGUUCAUGCCCUUACGGGUAGACCUCCCACCCUAUGUUAUAUUCCCUUUGUUGCUUUGGCAGGCCGUCAGGCUUCGGUCAGGCUACCGGCUCCGGCUGGUAAGCGCCCGCCAGAGGACCCCAAACUCUGAAUAUUAGUGUCGUCUGAGUACUAUAAAACAGUUA